This 666-nucleotide ribosomal RNA is filed under the name uncultured bacterium. RNAcentral's name for it is "bacterial SSU rRNA". It matches the Rfam family "Bacterial small subunit ribosomal RNA", at positions 56 to 710 of the family's 1533-position model. The record is from RNAcentral.
UGCAAGUCGAACGGCAGCAUGACCUAGCUUGCUAGGUUGAUGGCGAGUGGCGAACGGGUGAGUAAUGCACCGGAACGUACCCAGUAAUGGGGGAUAACGCACCGAAAGGUGUGCUAAUACCGCAUACGCCCUGAGGGGGAAAGCGGGGGAUCGUAAGACCUCGCGUUAUUGGAGCGGCCGAUGCCGGAUUAGCUAGUUGGUGGGGUAAAGGCCUACCAAGGCGACGAUCCGUAGCUGGUCUGAGAGGACGACCAGCCACACUGGGACUGAGACACGGCCCAGACUCCUACGGGAGGCAGCAGUGGGGAAUUUUGGACAAUGGGCGCAAGCCUGAUCCAGCCAUGCCGCGUGAGUGAAGAAGGCCUUCGGGUUGUAAAGCUCUUUCGCAAGGAAAGAAAACUUAGCUACUAAUACUAGCUGAGGAUGACGGUACCUUGAUAAGAAGCACCGGCUAACUACGUGCCAGCAGCCGCGGUAAUACGUAGGGUGCGAGCGUUAAUCGGAAUUACUGGGCGUAAAGCGUGCGCAGGCGGUUUGGCAAGUCAGAUGUGAAAUCCCCGAGCUCAACUUGGGAACUGCGUUUUGAAACUGCCAGACUAGAAUAUGUCAGAGGGGGGUAGAAUUCCACGUGUAGCAGUGAAAUGCGUUGAGAUGUGGAGGAAUACC